Pelobates cultripes (western spadefoot toad) is the source of this 782-nucleotide non-coding RNA. The record is from the annotation of a GenBank genome assembly. Lineage: Eukaryota; Metazoa; Chordata; Amphibia; Anura; Pelobatidae.
CUUACAGGUGGGGUAUAACCUGACUUAGGCAGCAGAUGACUACGUAGCCUUCCAGCUAGUAAUGGAAAUUGUUGUAUAACAGGAAAAGAUACUUGAGUGUACCAAGAGCUUCCUUUGGUCUGAAAUCAUCGUCACUGACUAAAUAUUGUAAAGUCAAAUGUGACCUGGCCAUAGAUAACACCAAAUCAAAUAAAGGGCUAGCUUCCUGCCUACUCCGAAGUGGAAAUCAUAAAAGCAUGUUGGCUAAAUUAGACUUGGCUAAAUUGGAAUUCAAAGAGGACAAGGAUAAGAACUAAAUAACAGUUGUAGCAAAGGUAAGCUCUACAAGUGAGUAAUAACCUAAGAAUCAGGGGAUACCCUGAAUCAGAGGGGGAAGGCAUCACCUGUUGCAAUUCCUUCUAGUGUCAUCCCUAAAGCUCCUUCACUCUCUAUUGAAUUUCACAGAUUUUUUUACUCUAUCCCUAACAAAUCCUUCUCACAAGUAUUCUUGCGGUUUAUAUAGUUUAGAUUGCUUCAUUAUUACUUCACAUGCUAGACAAAUUACUUGGCCGGUCCAUGCCCUUGUUGGACUCUGCAUGCAAAUACCAUACCUUUGCACCCGAAAUCUAGUGAUGGAAACACUAAUGUACCUUGAUGCACUAAUUUAAGUUAAAGGAAAAGUCUGUGGUUAUGGUGCCAAGUAGUCACACUGUUUUAGUAUGGGUCCAUCGGCACCACUCCCCACCUCCACAACGAACAUCAAAGAGCUGGAACUCCUAAGCUGGAUGAAAUGCAGGGCAGGG